AACGAACGCUGGCGGCGUGGAUAAGACAUGCAAGUCGAACGAGGAACUCUUAGCUUGCUUUGGGUUCCUAGUGGCGGACGAGUGAGUAACACGUGAGCAACCUGCCCCAUAGUCUGGGAUAGCCCGAGGAAACUCGGAUUAAUACCGGAUGUGAUCGCAAGAUUAAAGGUGCCUUCGGGUGCCGCUAAGGGAUGGGCUCGCGGCCUAUCAGUUUGUUGGUGAGGUAACGGCUCACCAAGACGACGACGGGUAGCUGGUCUGAGAGGAUGACCAGUCACGCUGGAACUGAGACACGGUCCAGACACCUACGGGUGGCAGCAGUCGAGAAUCAUUCACAAUGGGCGAAAGCCUGAUGGUGCGACGCCGCGUGGAGGAUGAAGGCCCUAGGGUUGUAAACUCCUGUCAUCAAAGAGUAAAGCUCAGAUGUUAAUAGCAUCUUGAGCCUGAUAGUAUUUGAAGAGGAAGGGGCGGCUAACUCCG
This 480-nucleotide ribosomal RNA is filed under the name uncultured Verrucomicrobiaceae bacterium. RNAcentral describes it as "bacterial SSU rRNA". It matches the Rfam family "Bacterial small subunit ribosomal RNA", at positions 29 to 505 of the family's 1533-position model. Lineage: Bacteria; Pseudomonadati; Verrucomicrobiota; Verrucomicrobiia; Verrucomicrobiales; Verrucomicrobiaceae. The record is from RNAcentral.